RNAcentral lists this long non-coding RNA (1122 nucleotides) under Triticum aestivum (bread wheat). Its description in RNAcentral is "long non-coding RNA (TAES_LNC021322)". The record is from RNAcentral. Lineage: Eukaryota; Viridiplantae; Streptophyta; Magnoliopsida; Poales; Poaceae.
CUGCUGCUGGUGCUCGCGUCCUGCGACGGGAGGGAGCUGAAAGGGAAGGGCGGCGCCGGUGGCGCCGUGGACGAGGUGAAGGACCUGCUGCCCGGCUUGCCGGUGCCGGUGCCGCCUCUGGUGCCCAACCUGCCGCUGCCACCCGUGGUCCCCGGGAUCCCUCCCGCUGCCCACGGCUCCGCCGACAACCACAAGUCUCCAUGAUCAUAUCAUGCCGAUCGAGUUCACGCGCCUCUGCAUAAUGUUUACAGGCUGCGUCCGUAGAUCAGCUUGUCGUUUUAGACUCUUAUUAUAACUAGCUAGCACCGGCCGGAAAAGCAGCACAUCGGCGUCGCAUCGCUCUUGUCCGUGUGCCUUGAUCUGCGCCAACUAUCCCUAUCCGCCAUGUUUCCUCUUAGUUCAUGUGUUUAGUUAUGUCCCUACUUCGUCGUCAAUGUACUACAGUAAUACUUUAUCAGUGUGACUGUCUUUAUGAGUAGACAUAUAUCAAAAUAUUUCAUCAUCGAUAUCAUAGUACGUUGUCGCUGUGAUCACAAAGUCCCAAGCCCAGAGUUGUGGGAUCCGUUUGUACUUCAACAUCGAUAAUACCACAUUCACGGGCAAGUUCCAAUGGACUUUCACGGGGUGGAGAACCUGCGCUAAUCUGAUUGCCCCCCGAUUUUAAGUGGCGAGGCCGUCCAAAUAAACUAAAAUCACAGCCAUUAAUUUUCAGUUAGCCCGUAGAGCCCCCGUAAAGUCCCCCGUGUGUGUAGCAUUACUCCUUCAACAUGAGCUUUGCUACAUCUAAGUGCCAUUUGUUACAGAAAGGAGGUUACGGGCUGACAUGGCCGAGUUAAAAUCAGAGGAUGGGGUCAGGUAAAAUCAAGGAGGGGUGGAUUUGUGGUGGAGAGGAGGAUACAUCUCCUCGUGAAAUCAGUCGUUAGCACUUUGUCCGUAAGUGUAGGAUAUACACAUCAUGAAGCACCGGCAAGGCAAUGUAACCAAAUCAUACGAUGAUAAUAAUAUCUCACAGCAUCAAGGGAUCAGGUGCAGAUAUAGGGUGUACGCGCAUACAUCUUAAGCAACCGCGACUAAAGGGUGGGGCCUUUAGUCGCGCCCGUUCGGUCGCGGUUGCGCAACCGC